GAUUGAACGCUGGCGGCAGGCCUAACACAUGCAAGUCGAACGGUAACAGGAAGCAGCUUGCUGCUUYGCUGACGAGUGGCGGACGGGUGAGUAAUGUCUGGGAAACUGCCUGAUGGAGGGGGAUAACUACUGGAAACGGURGCUAAUACCGCAUAAYGUCGCAGGACCAAAGAGGGGGACCUUCGGGCCUCUUGCCAUCAGAUGUGCCCAGAUGGGAUUAGCUUGUUGGUGAGGUAACGGCUCACCAAGGCGACGAUCCCUAGCUGGUCUGAGAGGAUGACCAGCCACACUGGAACUGAGACACGGUCCAGACUCCUACGGGAGGCAGCAGUGGGGAAUAUUGCACAAUGGGCGCAAGCCUGAUGCAGCCAUGCCGCGUGUAUGAAGAAGGCCUUCGGGUUGUAAAGUACUUUCAGCGGGGAGGAAGGUG
This 430-nucleotide ribosomal RNA is filed under the name Salmonella enterica subsp. arizonae serovar 48:z4,z23:-. RNAcentral's name for it is "bacterial SSU rRNA". It matches the Rfam family "Bacterial small subunit ribosomal RNA", at positions 27 to 453 of the family's 1533-position model. The record is from RNAcentral. Lineage: Bacteria; Pseudomonadati; Pseudomonadota; Gammaproteobacteria; Enterobacterales; Enterobacteriaceae.